This 904-nucleotide non-coding RNA is filed under the name Cipangopaludina ussuriensis. The record is from RNAcentral. Lineage: Eukaryota; Metazoa; Mollusca; Gastropoda; Architaenioglossa; Viviparidae.
UGAACUUGGUUUUGAUUUAAAAUGUAUAGUGUAAAUAAAGAUUAAUACAUGGUAUAUUUUUAGUUUGGUGAGGAGUAAAGAAUAAUUAAUAUAUGUAUAAUUAUUUUAUAUAAUAUAAAAUAGUUAUAUUGAUUCUAAAUAUUAUAGAAAUAAAUGAUAUUUGAGUUAUCACUAACACCAGUAUGUAAUUUUAGUUAAUGAAUGAGAGUUUGAACUAGGUUAGUUUUAUAAAGUUGGUAAAUUUAGUGCCAGCAUCCGCGGUUAAACUAAAGACUUUAAUUAUAUAAAUAGUGGUGGAAUAAGUUAAUAAAUUUUAUUGAGAUGGAUAUUUUAAGGAUUAUUAUUUAGAUGUAAAAUGUGUAAAUAAUAUAAUUUAUUUUAGUUUAAGUAGAUGUGAGUUGUAUUAACGAUAUCUUAAUAUAAAACUAGGAUUAGAUACCCUAUUAUUUUUGAUGUAAAUUAGUGUAAAACCGCUUGCCAGAGUACUACGAACAAAUUAAGAGUUUAAAACUCAAAAAACUUGGCGGUAUUUUAGACCACUUAGGGGAACCUGCUUCAUAAUCGAUAGUCCCCGUUUUACCUAACCUUGUUUUAUGAAGUAUGUAUACCGUCGUCGCCAGGUAACUUUUAAGAAUUAAAUAGUUAGCAGUUGGUAAAUUAAUUUUAUUUAAACGUCAGAUCAAGGUGCAGCUUAUAAUAAGGUGAGAGUGGGUUACAAUUAAUAAUUUGUAAUACGAAAUAAGGAAUGAAAUUUUUAAAGGAAGGAGGACUUAAAAGUAAAAAUUAUAAGAAUAUAAUUUUGAAUAAGGCUCUGAAAUGUGCACACAUCGCCCGUCGCUCUCGUUGAAAAAUGAGAUAAGUCGUAACAUAGUAAGGGUAACGGAAGUUGUUCUUAGGAAAAUAU